This 440-nucleotide ribosomal RNA is filed under the name uncultured bacterium. RNAcentral describes it as "partial 16S ribosomal RNA". It matches the Rfam family "Bacterial small subunit ribosomal RNA", at positions 338 to 795 of the family's 1533-position model. The record is from RNAcentral.
CCUACGGGUGGCAGCAGUGGGGAAUAUUGGACAAUGGGGGCAACCCUGAUCCAGCGACGCCGCGUGAGUGAAGAAGUAUUUCGGUAUGUAAAGCUCUAUCAGCAGGGAAGAAAAUGACGGUACCUGACUAUGAAGCCCCGGCUAACUACGGGCCAGCAGCCGCGGUAAUACGUAGGGGGUAAGCGUUAUCCGGAUUUACUGGGUGUAAAGGGAGCGUAGACGGUGCAGCAAGUCUGAUGUGAAAGGUCGGGGCCCAACCCCGGGACUGCAUUUGAAACUGUUGAACUGGAGUGCAGGAGAGGUAAGCGGAAUUCCGAGUGUAGCGGUGAAAUGCGUAGAUAUUAGGAGGAACACCAGUGGCGAAGGCGGCUUACUGGACUGUAACUGACGUUGAGGCGCGAAAGCGUGGGGAGCAAACAGGAUUAGAUACCCCAGUAGUC